This 370-nucleotide ribosomal RNA is filed under the name uncultured bacterium. RNAcentral describes it as "bacterial SSU rRNA". It matches the Rfam family "Bacterial small subunit ribosomal RNA", at positions 494 to 862 of the family's 1533-position model. The record is from RNAcentral.
CGGCUAACAACGUGCCAGCAGCCGCGGUAAUACGGAGGAUGCAAGCGUUAUCCGGAAUUAUUGGGCGUAAAGGGUCCGCAGGUGGUUUAUCAAGUCUGUUGUCAAAGCGUGGAGCUUAACUCCAUAUCGGCAAUGGAAGCUGAGUAACUAGAGUACAGUAGGGGUUGCGGGAAUUCCCAGUGUAGCGGUGAAAUGCGUAGAUAUUGGGAAGAACACCAGCGGCGAAAGCGCGCAACUGGGCUGAGACUGACACUGAGGGACGAAAGCUAGGGGAGCGAAAGGGAUUAGAUAUCCCUGUAGUCCUAGCCGUAAACGAUGGACACUAGGUGUUGCGCGUAUCGACCCGUGCAGUGCCGUAGCUAACGCGUUA